Molecule: non-coding RNA, 1356 nt
Organism: Camellia sinensis
Lineage: Eukaryota; Viridiplantae; Streptophyta; Magnoliopsida; Ericales; Theaceae
Source: RefSeq, a predicted model, not a curated record
AUCUGUCUCAGGGAAACAUAUUGGUGAUUCAGAUCGUUUCGAAGUUCGAAGUUCUCUCUCGAAAUCGAAGUUGAGAUAAUUUCAGAUCGAUGAUUCAGAUCAUUUCAGAUCGGUGAUUCAACCAUUUCGAAGUUCUCUCUCUCUCGAAAUCGAAAUCGAAGUUCAUCUCAGCGAUUCAGAUCGAUGAAGCUGAGGCUGAGGCUGAGGCUGAUGAGCAGCAAAUAUUGAUUUCUCUGUAUUCACCUCUCAUCUUGGUACUGUUUUUGCAGAUUAGUUCAGUUUUAGGGCUGUGAGAGAGAAGUUGUAGAGUCUGCAAAUGGUGUCUCAGAUGAACUAAAGAGUGAGAGCAUUAUGCGGUUAUCAUGGGCUCUUGUUCAUUCCAAACAACCAAAAGAUGUGCAGUGUGGGAUAGCUAUGCUUGAAGCCUCAUUAGCCAAUAGUGGCAGCCCAUUGCAAAAUGAGGGAAAAGCUUUAUCUUCUUGCUUUUGGGUAUUACUGAAGUAGUGAAUAUCGAAGGAGCAGGCAGCUUGUAGAACAAUGUUGGGUAAAAACUUUAAUUUGAAAUUUUCGAGGUUGAAUUUUUUGGUUAUGCUUUUGUCUUUCCAUUAUUGUACCCUUCUGGUUGUGUUCUAUUUCAGUUCAAAAUAUGAGUAAAGAAGAGUUCUUGAAGAUCCAGGUACUCUUUAAUAAAUGAUAUAUAUACUUAUAUACAUAUAUGUAUAUAUAUAGGCAUUUCCACACUAUUAUGUUGUUUUCUUGAAAUGCUUUGCUUGUUUUGAACUAAAGAUUUGAAAUACUCUUUACCUGUCAUGUUUCUUUUUCUUUUUUCUUUUUUUCUUUACAAUACAUUUGCAAUUGGUUUUGUUGGGAGUUGGGACAAACUAGCAAAAUCAUCAACUUGUUAGUUUGUUACACCCAAAAUACACACAAGAAAUGCAAGAAAUCAGUACAGUUGCUUCCUUGUAGUGGAUAAGGUUAAAAUACCUGCGUUGUUGCUGGGUAAUUUCUUUCUCUAUUUAUCUUUAUCUUUAUCUUUUUUCCUUUUUUUUGGGAGGUAAAUAUUGUAUUUGAAUCCUUGUAAGUUGAAUGUCAGAGAUACAUUUCUUUGUAAUUUGUUGCAUUUGACUCAAGUGGCUCUCGCUCUCUGAGGUAUCUGUGUGUAUGAUUCUUGUAUAUCAUUGGGAGAUACUUUGUGUAAUAUGAGAGGAUAUGUUGGUGUCUAGAAAGUUCAAUUUUCAAUUAUUUAUAUAAGACUGCAGAGAGAGUCGCAUUCAAGAGUACCAUCAUGGGAGGAAGUUAUGAAUAUAAAAUCCAAAUGGCUUUGGAAAUGGCUGCCUUUUUUGUUUUUUUUUUUUU